GCUCUCCCUGCUCGGCAUGGUUACACCUGCCACAACAUGUGUGACUUUCGUAAAGAGGAGAGAGAGAAACGGUGCUCUCAGGACCUCGGACAGGCCUCCUGUGUCCUGUCCUGUCCCUUCUGGGGGCGGAUCGUC
Molecule: small nucleolar RNA, 135 nt
Organism: Echinops telfairi (small Madagascar hedgehog)
Lineage: Eukaryota; Metazoa; Chordata; Mammalia; Afrosoricida; Tenrecidae
Product: small nucleolar RNA SNORA64/SNORA10 family
Exons: 1
Source: RefSeq, a predicted model, not a curated record